AGGUUAUCCUGCGCCGGCGCUGCGCACUGUGUCUCCAGAGCGCUGGGAGGGCCCAGUUCGCCCAAUGCCUGCGCUCCGCCUGUGCCGGGCCAAAGUGGGCAUUCAGCCUGGAGUAUGGGUAAAGAGCGUCCGUACCAGAACUCCAGUGCUCCCCCACAGCCCGGUUUAUCCUGUGCCUCCUCCUCGGAUCAGGCCUCCAGUGGGUCUCUCCAUCCUGGUUAAGCCUGUGCCUCCUCCACGGACCAGGCCUCCAGUGGGUCUCGCCAGUCCAAAGCCGCCAGAGCUGCCCGCCAGUCCGGAGCCGCCAGAGCUGCCCGCCAGUCCGGAGCCGCCAG
RNAcentral lists this long non-coding RNA (335 nucleotides) under Salmo salar (Atlantic salmon). Its description in RNAcentral is "lncRNA (ENSSSAG00000096582.1)". Lineage: Eukaryota; Metazoa; Chordata; Actinopteri; Salmoniformes; Salmonidae. The record is from RNAcentral.